RNAcentral lists this long non-coding RNA (274 nucleotides) under Amborella trichopoda. Its description in RNAcentral is "long non-coding RNA (ATRI_LNC000824)". Lineage: Eukaryota; Viridiplantae; Streptophyta; Magnoliopsida; Amborellales; Amborellaceae. The record is from RNAcentral.
UCCUUCCUGAUCGAUAAAGGUUCAUAUUUCAAGAUAUGGGAUGGGUCGGGCUGAUAUUUUCGUAGUGAUGAUACAUGGAAGACAUUAUAGACGUUUGCCAAUUCGGGUGGUAAGGCAAGUCUAUAAGCGACACCUCCGAUUCUUUCCAGGAUUUCAAAUGGUUCGAUGUAACGUGGGCUCAGCUUUCCUUUCUUAUCGAAUCUCAUAAUGCCUUUUAUUGGUGAGAUUUUUAAGAAAACUCGAUCACCUUCCUCAAAUUCAAGAUCUCUCCUUC